CAUCGCUCAGAUAGACGAGAAGCACCGAGAAACAUAGAGAGCGAUAGAUGUUUUCUACUAAGGCAACGUCCCUUGCGCCUACAAACCACCGCCACACAGCCCCCUUUUUCUACUCCUCCUACUUCUUCACACUCUAUUGAUAUAUGGCGCCAGUUCGCCAGUCCAAAUGUACUGCCUCCAUCGGCAUAGCAGCUGGACAUUGUGUCCUGUCCCCUUUUCCACACGUGAAGCCUCAACUUCCUGCCUGGGCCUUCUUUACUAAUCUUGUUUC
Molecule: non-coding RNA, 271 nt
Organism: Caenorhabditis elegans
Lineage: Eukaryota; Metazoa; Nematoda; Chromadorea; Rhabditida; Rhabditidae
Source: Ensembl